AUGGCGGCGGCCGUUGCGGCCAGUGGAGGGCUCGAGGCAUCCUUGAGCUUGUUUGAGUGGACGGGGGCACUACUGGGAGAGAGGAGGAGCUGCUGGAGUGCUCAGGGGCUCGGGGUGGGCUUAAAUAGCCAGCAGGGGAGGAGGUCGACCGGGCGUCGCCAUGGACACGCACCGCAGACACGUGUUCACGCGCUCGAGCUCGAAUGUAGACGAAGGCGGAGGCACAGGGGAGAGCUCACGGGGGCGGAGGCGGCCAAGGGAGCACGGGGAAGAAGAGACGAGCGAGCUCCGAGCCAAAUCGCCACUGUACGUGGCGGUUUGCGUCAGUGA
Molecule: ribosomal RNA, 330 nt
Filed under: Triticum aestivum (bread wheat)
Lineage: Eukaryota; Viridiplantae; Streptophyta; Magnoliopsida; Poales; Poaceae
Description: partial small subunit ribosomal RNA
Source: RNAcentral